Nymphaea colorata (pocket water lily) is the source of this 2552-nucleotide RNA transcript. RefSeq lists it as uncharacterized. The transcript is spliced from 4 exons. Lineage: Eukaryota; Viridiplantae; Streptophyta; Magnoliopsida; Nymphaeales; Nymphaeaceae. The record is from RefSeq and is a predicted model, not a curated record.
GUGGGAGGGAGAGAUUUUCUCCAUUGCAUCAAGAUUUGCCGGUGAAGAAGCUUCAUUUCUCGUUGUGGGGAGUCUUGGGACGGUGGGAAGCUUGGAGAAAGAGAGUUUUUUGGUUUUUAACACCAAGAAGGUAAGAAAUAACUCAUUUUUGCCGUUGAAUCGUUCAUUUCUCUUAUUUCCUACAUGUAUUUGUAUGUUUUUACUUGUUUUGUGAAGAUAUAAUGUCGGAUCCUGCAUGACAGUGGUGUACAAGGGUGAAUCCCAAAGAUAGAUUAAGAGUUAAGUGCAAUUAUUGUAAGCAAAUCAUAUCAAGAGGGAAGUAGCUUCUUGAUGCAGUGAAAGCAAGUAGGAUUGAAAAGGACAUGGAAGAUGCGGAGGAAGGAUAUGGGGACCCACAUGAAAGAGAAGAAAGUGAAGGUGAAGAUGUUCAACUUGAACAAGAAGAUGUUGGUGUCAGUUUGGGAACAACUAAAGGGAAAGGCAUCAUGCAUGGAGGUAGUUCUUCUGCAACUGCAACCAGAAAAAGAAGAGGUGCAACAAUAAGUUCAGUUUCACGAGGACGUGGCAGAAGUCAGGGUCGUACUGGUGGUGGUAGAGUACCUACUAUGAAGUCGAGCAAUAUGUCUGGUUCGAUCAAGAAUUUUUUUCCCAAUUAUACUGCUGCUGGUGCUCAGCCUGAGAUUCGUAUAGCCAUGCAAUCAAAGGAUAUUAUUGAAGCAGCAGAUGAAACCAUAGGAAGGUGGUUCUAUGAUGCAUCCAUUCCCUUCAAUGCAGCAAACUCUUAUCAUUAUCAGCCUAUAGCAGAUGCGAUUGCUAGUGUAGGGCGAGGGUAUAAAAUGCCCUCUUUUCAUAAAUUGCGAGGAUGCAGUGUAAUGGCAGAUGGGUGGACAGACAUCAAGAACAGAACAUUGGUAAACUUCCUUGUAUAUUGCCCUCUUGGUACUAUGUUCUUAAAAUCUGUUGAUUUGUUUGAUACUCCAUGUGUUGUUUGGGAUUUUUGAUAAAGUUAUAAAAGAAGUUGGGCCUGAAAAUGUUGUACAAUUUAUCACUGAUAAUGCAGCAAAUUAUAAAGCUGCAGGUGAAAUGUUAGCAGCACGAUAUGGGACAUUUUAUUGGAGUCCAUGUGCUGCUCACUGUGUAAAUCUUAUGCUUCAGGAUCUUGGUGAAAGGGAUGAUAUGAAGUUGACAGUUCACAGAUGCCAAGAAAUCACGAAGUUUAUUUAUAAUCAUGUUUAUGUCUUGAAUUUGAUGAGGAAAUUCACAAAUGGGGCUGAAUUGAUUCGACCUGCACAAACACGGUUUGCUACAAAUGUUUUGACUGUGCAGGGUGUAUAGUCAAGCAAAGAUCUUCUCUCAGGCAGAUGUUUUCAAGUGAUGAUUGGGCUGCAUAUCCACAUGCCUAUAAAAGAAAGGCUACGACAGUUGUGGAUACCAUCUUCGAUGUUGACUUUUGGGAAUCAUGUGUGCACUUAUUGAAGAUUUGUGUACCUCUAGUGAAAGUCCUCAGAUCAGUUGAUAGUGAAGAUAGACCUUCUAUUGGAUAUUUAUACGAGUCUAUGGAUAGAGCCAAGGAGGCCAUUAGAGAUAAUAUGAAGGGAAAAAAGAAGUUGUACAUGCCUAUAUGGAAGAUUAUAGAUGAAAGGUGGUCUGGACAACUUCAUCGCCCACUUCAUGCAGCAGCCUACUACCUAAAUCCUGCUAUUAGAUAUCUUCCCACUUUUAAGAAGGACAGAGAGGUCGAGUAUGGCAUGUUGGAUUGCAUUGAUGUAUUAGUAAGUGAUAGUAAAGAACAAGACGCUAUCCAUAUGUCGAUCAACAAAUAUGAUACGGCUUCUGGUACCAUGGCGAGAGACACAGCAGUUCGAUGCAGGACAACUAUGCGUCCAGAUUUGUAGUGGGAAAGGUUUGGGCUUGAUUGCCCAGAAUUAAGGAAGCUUGCAAUUAGAAUCCUCAGUCAAACAUGUAGUGCAACUGGAUGUGAAAGAAAUUGGAGUGUAUUUCAGCACAUCCAUAGUAAGAAGAGGAAUAGGCUGGAACAUAAAAGGUUGAAUGACCUUGUUUAUGUUCGUUAUAAUAUGAAGUUGAGACAAAGGCAACUAGAAACAACAUCUACGAGGAAGCAUCACAAUCAAUAUGAUCCUAUCUUCAUUGACCAUUUUGAUAUAUUAGAUUCUUGGGUUGAAGAAGAACCAGCUGCAAUACUUUAUGAGGACGAUCUUGAUUUUUUGAAUGUUGAAGGAGCAGCAGAGAUUGUUGAAGAAGGAGAGGCUGGGGGGGGGGUGCAAUGGAAUGUUGGUGACAUUCCAUUUGCAACAGAGGGGAUAGAAGAAGAAGUUAAUGAAGAAAAUGAAGAUGAUGAUGAAGAAUGAAGAUGAUGAUGCAAAUGACGAUUGACGAUGCUUUUUGUUUUGAGUUUUGAAAACUAUGUCAAUAUGUUCUGAGUUUUCACUUCUGAACUUAUGAAUUGUGAUGUAAUUGAAUACUCUUAGGUUGUUUAGUAUGUUAUUUUGUUUUUUGAAUGUUUGAUUUCUUAUUUUGGAAUGUCUUGUUCA